This is a long non-coding RNA of Magnolia sinica, 745 nucleotides long. RefSeq lists it as uncharacterized. NCBI's taxonomy places the organism in Eukaryota, Viridiplantae, Streptophyta, Magnoliopsida, Magnoliales, Magnoliaceae. The transcript has 2 exons. The record is from RefSeq and is a predicted model, not a curated record.
GUAUUUAUUAUUAUUAUUAUUUAAACUUUCUAGAUAACCUUACCCAACGGUCGCAUUGAACUUUUAUUUAAUUUUUAGUUGUCUCCAUUUUCAAAUGGCAGUGGAAGUCCAAGCCUGGAGUUGCUUACUCCACUGGAAGCUGUUGCUGUGCACAUGAGCGUAACUUCAACAAAAUUCACCCCAUUCAUCAAGUAACCUGCCUCUCUUUACUCUCAACUACAAAAAUCUUGAGGAUCAAAACUCCGGUAUCUCCGUGAGGAGUCCAAAUAAGCUCCGUGGAUUCGGAGUAGUUAUCCUCUUGAGGAAGAUGGUGAUCGACCUCAUCAUGUUCAGCCCAACGUUGAUGUGGGGUACACAUGUAUAGUAGAUUUCAAAAUACACCAAAAAUACCGUAAGAAGGUGUUUGGCGCAGGGUAUUAGAUGGGAUUAGGUGGGAUAUAAUUGCAUUUUGUCUCGUGCAAUUCCAUCCAGCAUUUGGAGAGCAUAAGAAAGGUUGGGAUUAGGUGGAAUAGAAUUGCAUUUAGUCCCAUGGAAUCGCAUUUGGUUCUUUGCAAGAUUUUCAUGGAUUUUGAAAUCUACUACACGUGGGCCCUACAUUGAUGUAUAUGUUUAUCCAUGUUGACCAUCCAUAUACACUAUUUACACAUGACAAUAUGGUUAUAUAUGUGUACAAGUGAACGACAUCCGUUGUGAAUUUGGUCCGUUGAUUACAAUUUCAUAAUCCAUCAAACAUGAUUUUGCUUAA